Molecule: long non-coding RNA, 5166 nt
Filed under: Sus scrofa (pig)
Lineage: Eukaryota; Metazoa; Chordata; Mammalia; Artiodactyla; Suidae
Description: lncRNA (ENSSSCG00000062787.1)
Source: RNAcentral
CUCCUCUAAUGCAGAAUCACAGGAGGGACUCUUGUCCCAGAUAAGAGGUCAACCCCACUGUGACUCCACAGGAGAAAAAUGAAAGCCCAGAGCAGAGGAAGAAAUGUGUACCUUAGAGCUGGGCCUCUUUGUACCUGAUGUUCUCUGCUUAGGUUUUAGAUUUUACUCAAAAAUACCAUUUUUUCCAGAGAGAAAAAUAUCCCUUUUUAGCUUCCAGCUGACCUGAAUUUUAAGAUGUGUGGAAGUCACCACUGGUGCUGCAUGUGGCUUUAGAAGAACCCCCGCCACGGGGCCCAUCCUCUCCCUUGGUGGAACACCCCUGUUUGUCACCUAUUGGACCUGUCAACUUGACAUCAGCCGUUCCAUACUCAAAGCUGCAUUUUGUAGUCUUUUCAAAGGGAGAAUGUCCCGCACCCUCUAGAAACAGAGCUUAAGACUCAUUCCCUGAUAACUGUCAGAUUUUGUUCUUGAAAUCUAUUUUUUUAAUAAUAUAAAAAGAUUUACUGAUUUGCUCUUUGCAGUUAUUGUACCACAUGUCCCCAGUGCUCAAGCCAUGCCCAGCAGGCAAAACAGGUGAAGCAGGCAUCUUGGAAAGUACUUCUAGCUCAAUGUCAAGGGCAUGUCUUUACAGUGUAGGGUGAAUUCAUUCCCUUCCCUCCCCCCUUGUAUUCCUCUCUCCCCAGAUAGAAAUGAUGACGAUUCAUAGGCCUCCCUCCCCCGCCAGUUCAUGCUGUCUUUUCCUUUUCUCCCCAAAGAAUAAAUGCUUCUUAGAAUUCAUGGCUCCCUUAGGGUAAGUGUUUAUAUAAGUACAGUUAUUCUUAUAUUGUCCUACGCCCUCAUUUAAAUUUUCCCAACGUACAAAUUUCAUUUCAAGGACUCUCCCCAUCUCAGCAUCCUCUACAAACCUUUUCUAGCCCUGUUGCUGAUGACUUUCUCCCCAGAAUGCUUUGCUGGGAGCAGGAAAGCCAGCAGAGGCCUUUGCAGGGUGGCUGCCUUGAUGUUGUCAUUGAAACUAGCGCACUGCUGACUGUGAUUCCUGCUGUUGUGAGAGAGACUACGUGGCUUUUUCCCCUUCUUUCUUCCUGUCUUCUCUUUUUAAGCCUGACAGUUUUCUCCAACUCACCUGAGAUUUAAUUUUCACUUUAUGAUCCUUUACCUGUUUUGACAUUAGAGAAAUCAGAAUGUCAGUGAAGUUAUCUCCCGGCAGAAUUCGAUCAGAUGGAACACACGCUUUACCAAAACGGCACCUGGUCUCGCCUGGCUCUGUUCUGUUGAAGGGCGACUUAAAAGAGGGGUUCAGCCUUGAGUGUCGCCACCUGGGGAGAGGGUGGGGUUGGGACCUGAAGGUCUGAGGGCUUGCCCAGCUCUGCCCCUUCCUUCCUGCCAUUUGCCUUCUCUGCCUCAGUAUCUCUAUCUGUAAAAUAGUCAUAAAGACUCCUUUUCCAAGUGGAUUUUUGGUCCGUGACUAUCUUUUACUAAUAGCAAGUCCCUCCUUGCACUUUCAAGCAUCCUUCUGCGAUAAAGGCUACAGUGUCAGUAAGGAAAGUUGAGGUGUCAGCAAGGUUCUAACCCUUAAGGUCCCAUCAUCACCAGGAGACAGUCGUUGGGGCUUAUCUGUGACAGGCCCUGGAUGACCUGUUACCCCGUCCCUGCGCAUGCAGGCUUGGGGAAAGUCAUUUCUGGUUUUCUCUAUUUCCCUUCCCCAUCUCAUAAAGCUGCUCUUAGGUAAUUUGGGAAUGCGUUAAAAUGCUCUAAGCUCAUUAGAAAAGACUCCCCCCGCUCCUGUUUUCUUGUUGUACAAGCUCUUGUGGGUUUGAUGGAAACCAAAUGCAUCUCCUUAGAUGUUUGUACUCGAUAUCAAUCUUCUAAACACUGGCAUUAUCAAGAUCUUUGAAGCAGCCGUCAGCCUCAAAUAGCAGGCUAAAGAUACUCCUGGUUGCGUGGAAUUAUCACAUGGCAAGCUAGAGAGAUAAAGGCUGGAAUCAAGGGGAUUUUCUGGUUUGUUGUUGUUGUUGUUUGUCUUGGGGAGAGAAAAAUCUAUCAGAAGUCUGCUGGAAAUGUGCAUGUCCAUGUCAUUAGAAGUAAGCUACUUCGAUGAAAUUACCUGUCUAUAAUAUGGCACCUGAAUUUAAGGAAUUGAGGACAUAAAAGGCUCAUUUGGAGUCUAACAGCCUCAGAUCUUUUUUAUGCAUCUGUUAUCAGAGCUAUUUUCAUUCCUACUGGCUGGCUCUGGGAGACACAGCCCCAAGCCAGCAUCAUAUCACCCCCACCCCGCACCACCACAAAGGCCACAGCCCCCAGAUGGCUCCCACCACUGCUGUCCUUUCUGUAAUCCCUGGCCCUCCCUCCUACCCCAGUGCUCUUGUGAGCUUGCUGUCUCCACUCCACAGAUGUCAUCAGCUGUAUUUCCAGAGCCCUCCCUGUGCCUGCCUCUGUUAAGGUCACGCAUAUGUUUGAAACAUGCAAAUAUCAGCAUUAUUGUUGCCCCUGACAAAUAUCAUCUGUCUAUGAAAGUCCUCAGGAAAUGGGACUCUCCCAGAUGAAGUGUAAAACCUUCCUCUAAUUUAGGACAGAAAAGUAUUUCAUGAGGGUGGGUCCUGCCCGUUCCUCCUUUCCUCUUUCUCCUGAAAGCUUUUUAGUUAAAAUCUCUAGUUAAAAUCUUUCCUCAUGCCUUUUCACUGUUUGUAGCGUCCAGCAGCUGCAGUUGUUGUCAGGAGCUAGCACGUCCUGUAUUACCGAUCACCUUGACUCUGACAUGCAGCAAGGGGACAGGUUUUCCAAUACGAUCACACUUCACUGCAGCAGUAACUUCUAUGUAGAAUCAGGCUCAGGUUCUUAGGAGUGAUGCCCAGUAUGUGAAACACUGAGAGGAGCGGAAGCCAGUGUCCAUAGAGAUGCUAAUAAAUAGGCAGGACGUGCUCGGGGUGUGUGUGUGUCUGUGUCGCAUUUAUUUUCUUCGGUCUUCUCAAGGAAGAGUGAAUUCACUAAUAAACCCUAGUAAACCUAUUAUGUAGUCAGUUUGAAUUAAUAUGUACCUGUCAUGCAAAUCAGCAAUCACAAUCCUUCACCUGUGUCUAGAGCGUCACCAAUUACAAACAUCCCCCGUUCCUAAAGACCAAAUGAGUGGACAAGAGUCGGUGAUGCAAUGAUUCUUACAAUGCAGUUAGAUUUAGAUACUCAAAAUGUGACCUGGGUCUUUAUUUCUGUGGCUCCAAAGCCUUCCAGAAGCAAAUUGGGGUGGCUUUCAAAGUUUCCCUUUGUUCUUACAGAUGUAGAGCCUGCAUUUCUGGUAAUACAGGGAGUCAGUUCAGAAUUGAAUCUCAGUUGCGGUAUCGAACGCAUACCUGUGUAUCUCUCUUCUGAUGCAGGAUGUGGAAAGCCAUCUAACCCCAGGCAGGACCCACCCAGGCAUCAGAUUUUCUAAGGGUCCAUUUGAUUGGGCCCUGAGGAUGCAAUACGCUUUACAGUUGGGGAUGAGGUGCCCAGCACUGGAGGGGUUCAAAGACAAGUACCCCAUACCUGUGUACAGGUGACUAGGGGGAGGUAUGAAAGAUUGUCCUAGGGAACUAUGGUAAAGCAUGGUUUCUCAGCAACCUGUUUUCUCUCCUUCCUGAACAUCAAGUAGACUAUGCUCCUCAAUUUUCUUUGCAGUGGUAAACUUUUAUUUUGUUAAGUCAGAUGUGUUUGUUUCAGCAGCUAGCAGUUACCUUACCUAAUACAGAACCUUUGAAUUUGUAUUCAGUCCUAAGAGAUGAGAUUCAGUUGUGAUUUCUUGUGACUUUCUCACCACUUCGAGUUGAUUCUUAUGUUUUUUUUCUUUCCUUCUGGUUUUCCACAGAAUUUCCAUUAUCCCCUUUUGAUUUUUAUAGGGCUGCUCAGUGACUCACGGACAAGGAAGUGGCUAAUGUGAGUGUAGUCUACCCAGUUAUAUAGCCUAAAAGCGUGUUUUCUGGGCAUGUGUCCAGCCUAUUGUGGUUGAACAUCCAGGCCGGGGGGUGGGGGUAGGGUGAGCGCAGGGGACAGUGAGGGUGACAGCUUCAGGCUGUGACUGAGACUGACGUGGGGGUGGGAUCAGUGGAUUGUGGUGGCUGCUAAGUGAGGAGUUACCUGCAGGAAGGGGGCGGGGGCUGUCAUUUCCCAAACAUCACCACUCAAGCUGAAGUUGUGAACUCCCUGGGGAAGCCAAGUAAGCAAGUGCUAAAUGACCCUAACCUCAUUGGGGGGUGUGUAUGUGUGUCCCUAACACACUGCAGGAUCUUUAAGUCAGUAGUAGAAGCAGAGGGUUCAGAACUCCAGAGAAGGACUUAAUGGAAUUUGUUUUUGAUGCUGACUACUUACUGAUAAAUCAAGGGGGGUCGGCUGUAAGGAGGCUAAAUAUCUUUCCUAAGAAAUUGUGUGUUAGUUUUAGAAUAAGUUUGAAUUGGGCUGCCCCUCAAAGGGAGCAAUCAUUUUAAAGGCUGUCUUUUGGAGAAAUCCUGUUUUUUGCUUUGAAAGCUUUUUUUUUAAAAAAAAACAUCCUGAUCACCGUCAGAUUUAGAAUUUGAAAAAAGGUUAGAAUUCUGGCUCAAGAGAGUGAAACUCCUGACCAAUAUUAUCUUGAUUCUUCCUUUUAAUUUUAUAAUAAAGGGUGAUAAAAGAGUCUGCCCGGCCUUUUGUCCAGAGUGGCGGUGAUAGUCUCUGUGUGUGUGUGUGUGUAUAUGUGUGUGUGUGUGUGUGUGUGUGUGUGUGUGUGUAUUGUUGGGGGCGGUAGUUUAUCAAAGACUUUAACAUAUAAUCAUUUUUAUCACAUUGUAUUCGUCAAUUACUCUUGACUCAGUCGACAUGCAGUCAUAUUCUUAUAAACCAAUGUGAACACUGGAGUGCUUUAUUUAAUUUAAAAGUGUGUCUUGUUUGAAUAUAGUUAUUUACCAGAAGCCUUUUCAUAAAGUGCUUCUUGUGUAGAAUUAGGUGAUUUUAAUAAGCGCUGAAGGCCAGACAGUAAUUCAGCUGUGGUAUUUGAGUUUCUUUUCCCCUCUUCUUUGACUCAAUCCUUUGAUGUUGCUAAGCUCUUCACUAAUAUCAGUUGCUGUUGACAUGCAAACCAACAAAUAUAUUUAGCACAACACACCAGAGGCUGGAAAGUAAAGCUUUUAAUUAACCUGCAGGGAAUUUUCUAAGAUCAGAGGC